RNAcentral lists this ribosomal RNA (400 nucleotides) under uncultured bacterium. Its description in RNAcentral is "bacterial SSU rRNA". It matches the Rfam family "Bacterial small subunit ribosomal RNA", at positions 355 to 772 of the family's 1533-position model. The record is from RNAcentral.
UAGGGAAUCUUGCGCAAUGGGCGAAAGCCUGACGCAGCCAUGCCGCGUGAAUGAUGAAGGUCUUAGGAUUGUAAAAUUCUUUCACCGGGGACGAUAAUGACGGUACCCGGAGAAGAAGCCCCGGCUAACUUCGUGCCAGCAGCCGCGGUAAUACGAAGGGGGCUAGCGUUGCUCGGAAUUACUGGGCGUAAAGGGCGCGUAGGCGGAUAGUUUAGUCAGAGGUGAAAGCCCAGGGCUCAACCUUGGAAUUGCCUUUGAUACUGGCUAUCUUGAGUACGGGAGGGGUGUGUGGAACUCCGAGUGUAGAGGUGAAAUUCGUAGAUAUUCGGAAGAACACCAGUGGCGAAGGCGACUGACUGGACAAGUAUUGACGCUGAGGUGCGAAAGCGUGGGGAGCAAA